GUUGGCCAGGCUGGUCUCGAACUCUUGACCUCAAAUGAUCCACCCGCUUCGGCCUCCCAAAUUGCUGGGAUUACAGGCGUGGGCCACCGUGCCUGGCAAAAAAUGAGUUUCUUUUUAAUGCUAAUGCCCUGUAUUUUUAUCUUCCUUUCAGGAAAUCAAAUCAAUGAAGAAAAGAAUGAGUGAGCUAUGUAUUGAUUUUAACAAAAACCUCAAUGAGGAUGAUACCUUCCUUGUAUUUUCCAAGGCUGAACUUGGUGCUCUUCCUGAUGAUUUCAUUGACAGUUUAGAAAAGAUAGAUGAUGACAAGUAUAAAAUUACCUUAAAAUAUCCACACUAUUUCCCUGUCAUGAAGAAAUGUUGUAUCCCUGAAACCAGAAGAAGGAUGGAAAUGGCUUUUAAUACAAGGUGCAAAGAGGAAAACACCAUAAUUUUGCAGCAGCUACUCCCAUUGCGGGCCAAGGUUGCCAAACUACUCGGUUAUAGCACACAUGCUGACUUUGUCCUUGAAAUGAACACUGCAAAGAGCACAAGCCGCGUAACAGCCUUUCUAGGUUAGUUCUUUUUUUUUUCUAUGACUGUUUUGCUAUACCAUGUCAAACAGACAGAAGGCCUCAGACAUAAUAUGCCUUUGAGGACAUCCUACUUUUCCUUCAUUCGAGAGAAGUAUGUUGAUCAUCUAUUAAGUGUUAGAUAGUAUG
RNAcentral lists this small RNA (698 nucleotides) under Pongo abelii (Sumatran orangutan). RNAcentral's name for it is "retained intron". The record is from RNAcentral. Lineage: Eukaryota; Metazoa; Chordata; Mammalia; Primates; Hominidae.